GACCCGGUAGCUCAGCGGAUAGAGCAUCACACUACGAAUGUGAGGGCCGAGGGUUCGAUCCCCUCCCGGGUCGCCG
Molecule: transfer RNA, 76 nt
Filed under: Chloroflexota bacterium
Lineage: Bacteria; Bacillati; Chloroflexota
Description: Chloroflexi bacterium tRNA-Arg
Rfam family: tRNA
About the family: Transfer RNA (tRNA) molecules are approximately 80 nucleotides in length. Their secondary structure includes four short double-helical elements and three loops (D, anti-codon, and T loops).
Source: RNAcentral